RNAcentral lists this microRNA (22 nucleotides) under Pongo abelii (Sumatran orangutan). RNAcentral describes it as "Pab-Mir-9851_5p* (star (passenger))". The record is from RNAcentral. RNAcentral also lists the same sequence under 1 other name. Lineage: Eukaryota; Metazoa; Chordata; Mammalia; Primates; Hominidae.
CGCUGGCAGUGUUGGUGACACU